AACGAACGCUGGCGGCAUGCCUAACACAUGCAAGUCGAACGAGACCUUCGGGUCUAGUGGCGCACGGGUGCGUAACGCGUGGGAACCUGCCCUUAGGUUCGGAAUAACUCCCCGAAAGGGGUGCUAAUACCGGAUAAUGUCUUCGGACCAAAGAUUUAUCGCCUUUGGAUGGGCCCGCGUUGGAUUAGCUAGUUGGUAGGGUAAAAGCCUACCAAGGCGACGAUCCAUAGCUGGUCUGAGAGGCUGAUUAGCCACACUGGGACUGAGACACGGCCCAGACUACUACGGGAGGCAGCAGUGGGGGAUACUGGAAAAUGGGGGAAAGCCUGAAGCAGCAAUGCCGCGUGAGUGAUGAAGGCCGUAGGGUUGUAAAGCUCUUUUACCCGGGAUGAUAAUGACAGUACCGGGAGAAUAAGCUCCGGCUAACUCCGUG
RNAcentral lists this ribosomal RNA (433 nucleotides) under uncultured bacterium. Its description in RNAcentral is "partial 16S ribosomal RNA". It matches the Rfam family "Bacterial small subunit ribosomal RNA", at positions 29 to 507 of the family's 1533-position model. The record is from RNAcentral.